This 241-nucleotide unclassified non-coding RNA is filed under the name uncultured Helotiales. Its description in RNAcentral is "sequence contains ITS2". The stretch from base 1 to 52 matches the Rfam family "5.8S ribosomal RNA", at positions 103 to 154 of the family's 154-position model. The record is from RNAcentral. Lineage: Eukaryota; Fungi; Ascomycota; Leotiomycetes; Helotiales.
AACGCACAUUGCGCCCUCUGGUAUUCCGGGGGGCAUGCCUGUUCGAGCGUCAUUACAACCACUCAAGCUCUCGCUUGGUCUUGGGGUUCGCGGUUCCGCGGCCCCUAAAAUCAGUGGCGGUGCCUGUCGGCUCUACGCGUAGUAAUACUCCUCGCGAUUGAGCCCGGCAGGUCUACUUGCCAGCAACCCUCUAUUUUUACAGGUUGACCUCGGAUCAGGUAGGGAUACCCGCUGAACUUAA